This is a long non-coding RNA of Helicoverpa zea (corn earworm), 3250 nucleotides long. RefSeq lists it as uncharacterized. Lineage: Eukaryota; Metazoa; Arthropoda; Insecta; Lepidoptera; Noctuidae. The transcript is spliced from 2 exons. The record is from RefSeq and is a predicted model, not a curated record.
GACUCAACCGUGAGUUUUUGAGCUUACUAGCAUAAUGCUCCGUAGUCAACUAGCGUAAAUACAUAAAAAACGAUAUCCCAUUGUUUGUUCGUGUCAUAUACUUGAGAGGUCUCUCAAAAGUCAAUUUUCAUUCGAUAAACACAUGUUACUAUUGCUAUUAUUAUAAUAAUAUGUAUUUUGAGAUAACCUAUCGACCGUCAUUGUUUCAGUCGAUUUUUUGUUCACGCCAUCGAUCAUAGACAAAAACUAUUCUUACAAAUAUUGUGAUUUGAAUUUUCAAACUCGUGUUCGUGUUCUAGAACUUUUCAAACGUUUUUAUUUAGAUUUGAACUGUUAAUAUAUAUUUUUUCUUCUUUAAAUAUCAGGUUUCUUAUUCCAAAAUUAGAUAUUGAUACGCUUUAAGUUGUUUUAAAUUGUUACAUAAGAUCCCACUUGGACAGUUUUGCUUACAACAUCGACACAUAUUUGAGAAAGUUUAUUUAAGUUCAAAUUAGAAUUUAAGCUUAGAAGCCCAUUCUAGUGCCAUGUGUGUACUGUUAUAAUUUUUUUAUAACCGAACAGUCAGGACUUGGAAUCUAGGUAUCUACCUGAUAUUACAGCUCUGAAGCUGAAAAGAUUGAAGAUUGCAAUAGGAAAGAAUCACGAAUGUUGUGGUCACAAGAAUAACAUGGAAGUAAGUAUUUUCCGAGCCCUUAAAAAAAUACCACUUCACCUAUCACCUCUUCGGUAGUAAACAUGGCGCUUAUGUUAAACUAAUGAAUUUUCAGAAUACAGUUUCCGAAGAAAAAACACAUCAUCGAUAGUAAUAAUUUCUAUUAAUCGCAUAUUUACAUACAAACACCUCAGAAACUAUGAGCUCUCAACAUUUUAUCUCCACAGUUUCUAUGAAACAUCCACCAUUUAAUGGUCAGGUAUUUUAAUAGUUUGCAAACACGAUCAUUGCAUACAUUACAUAAAUUAACAAUAAAUAUAUUCAACGGGUUUUCUGUAUUCCCACAAACCUUAUUAGCAUUUUCCGAUGAUUCAAUCGAAGAAUUUUUAAUGUAUCAAUAACAUUUCUGUGAAAUAGGUCAUUGGAAGAAACCUCUGAGCUUGGAAAAUAAUCAAAAUAUAACUAUUUUAGUUUCCUUUCAUGAUCGUUCCGUUAUAAAGGAGGUAAUCAACUUUGUCGAACUAAAAAUGUGCUUAUAAUAAAUUAAAUUACAGUAAUCUUUUGUAAAGAAAUUAUAUUUCCGAAAUAACAUUAAUUUUCCUAAUUUUCGGUUAGGAAAUAGAUUUUAUCAAUUAUAUUGAGAAAAUUAAGUAAAUUGAACAUAGCAAAAUCAAAAGAUGGAUAAAAACAGUUCCAUUCUAGUUCGAACUUACCAUUAUUUGAUGUUCGUCAUAUCUAUAAGAUCUUGUCUUUAUGCAACUAUUUCCACUAUAAUUUGUAGCAUAAAGCUUCCAUUAAUUUUAUCGACAACCUUUGCAUUGUCCCAGAAUCAGAAUAUGAAUUUGUUAAACAUAAGUGCAUGUAAGGCACUGCAGAGCAGAUUCCUCUUCUCAUAUAGACAAGGAAUAAGUUUUAACCACCACGCUUCCUCAAAGAGAUUUCAGACUUACCUUACUAUAAUUAGUACAAUAUUAGUAAGCAUAACUGGUAAACAUAUCGCUCACCUAGCAGUAUAAUGACACAUCUACUUUUUUCUUAUUUUACAGAAACGAGGGUCAAAGAUUUUGCAAACGUUUGAAACGAGGUUAUGACUUCAUUUUAUAUUUUAUCUUAUAUUUUAUGGUUUUAACAACUAACGCCGUGCCGUUUUACCACUUUAUAAAUUAUACACUUUUAAACACUUAGGCCGUAAAAACCCAAUUUCGCUUUUUUUGUAAAUGUGCCAUUAUACUACUAGGUGAGCGAUAUGAUAUAUGGUAAGUACAGUAGUUACUAAGCUAGAAAAAUAAAGCCCUUCUUUAUUCUGAACUAUCAUAGCCAAGUUAUUACCUAACUCCACACAAAGAUAAUUGUCUACUACAACUCCAAUUAUUGUCUUAGCAACUAAAUUAAUGAUUACACUUAGAAUUAAUUAGUCCAUUGUUGAAUACUAUGAAAAAGGUCCAGAGUAUUAAAACAAUGAGUUAAUGAGUCUCAAUAAGUAACUGUCAAGCUGAUUGAUUCAUAAAUGAGUUCUCGGAAAAAAUCAUAAAAUAAUGUGAAUAGAGAAAACUUCUUUGAACAAGUUUUAAGAAAGUAUUUCUGGUUGAAAAGGUCAUGUCAUAUUUGACCGUUUCUAUUUCCUAAAACACUGACCUAUUAAGAUAAUUUUUAUCUCUUAAUAUUUUAUUUAAGUAAUUCUAAAAAUAUACCCUUUUAUCUCUCGUAACCGCAAAAGUCUUAAAAUACAUUCACAAACACUAAGAAAACCAAAUGUAAUUAUGGUUGAAAUAAAUCUUACAUUUAUUAUGAAAAAAAUGUAAACAAAACUUGAGGUUUUCCCUACUGGACCUACGGCGAAAUCGUUUCUAUUUACUGUGGGAAAAUUAGCUUGUUAAAUAAUAAAAUCAUUAUAUAACACAACCUACUUGAGAAAAAGGAUGUGAAUUUUCUUAUUUUGAAUAAUAAUUACCAACAACUAUAAAAUGCGUAGUAUUAAGGCGUUCCAAUAUAUAAAAAUUUCAAAGAAAAAAAAAAGGACGUCAGAGUGUGACACGCCCGUUCUUCAUAAGACGACGUCCAAUUACUUGGCAUCAAAACAAAAAGCCGCUAUGACGUCCACAGCCGACCAAUGUUUGAACUCCGGCUGACCUAAGCGCACGCGCAAUCUUUAUAUAAAAGGAGUGGGAGGUGCACCGCCUCACAACAAACUGAACGCUCACAGCGAACAGACGUGUUGACUUUAAAAUUUACAAUUAAAAACAAUCAAAAUGUACACAAACCCUUUCGAGAGGAAACAUUCGUCGUUGAGGCAAGCCCUUGACCGCUUCAUCCGUGGGGAGACGAGGAUCAGCUUCAGGAAGAAGACGGAUUUAUCCAAGUCUUCGAGUAGCAGCACAUCAUCCAUGGUGUCUUCGACCAUGGAUUACAAGCCCAAGUUCAAUGAGAAGAGGUGAAGAGACAGUGCGUGUGUGUUGUGAUAGUGAAAUAUUUUUGCCAGUUCCACUCUCUGAACAGGUCGAGUGAGUUGCAGACCGGUUGAGUGACGCCAGCAGGCCCAGUGGACAUGGGACUUUACCCGCUAAAAUGAAUGAAUAAACAUUUGUUCCUUUUUUGAAA